This 309-nucleotide long non-coding RNA is filed under the name Setaria italica (foxtail millet). RNAcentral's name for it is "long non-coding RNA (SITA_LNC003340)". The record is from RNAcentral. Lineage: Eukaryota; Viridiplantae; Streptophyta; Magnoliopsida; Poales; Poaceae.
CGUCUACAAGCUAGCGCUCCCGGGGCUCUCCCUCGGCGGCACCAUCCCGCCGGAGCUCUCCAACUGCACCAACCUCCAGUCGCUGGACCUCUCCGCCAACGCGCUGUCCGGAGCCAUCCCGCCGGAGCUCUCGGCGCUGCUGAACCUCGCCGUGCUCAACCUCUCCGCCAACGCGCUCUCCGGCGCCAUCCCGCGGGAGCUCGCCAGCUGCGCCUACCUCAACAUCAUAGAUCUCCACGGCAACCAGCUGUCCGGGCCCAUCCCCGACGAGCUCGGCCUCCUCGUCCGCCUCUCCACCUUGGAUGUCUC